AUUGAACGCUGGCGGCAGGCCCAACACAUGCAAGUCGAGCGGAUGAAGGGAGCUUGCUCCUGGAUUCAGCGGCGGACGGGUGAGUAAUGCCUAGGAAUCUGCCUGGUAGUGGGGGAUAACGUCCGGAAACGGGCGCUAAUACCGCAUACGUCCUGAGGGAGAAAGUGGGGGAUCUUCGGACCUCACGCUAUCAGAUGAGCCUAGGUCGGAUUAGCUAGUUGGUGGGGUAAAGGCCUACCAAGGCGACGAUCCGUAACUGGUCUGAGAGGAUGAUCAGUCACACUGGAACUGAGACACGGUCCAGACUCCUACGGGAGGCAGCAGUGGGGAAUAUUGGACAAUGGGCGAAAGCCUGAGCCAGCCAUGCCGCGUGUGUGAAGAAGGUCUUCGGAUUGUAAAGAACUUUAAGUUGGGAGGAAGGGCAGUAAGUUAAUACCUUGCUGUUUUGACGUUACCAACAGAAUAAGCACCGGCUAACUUCAUG
RNAcentral lists this ribosomal RNA (484 nucleotides) under uncultured bacterium. Its description in RNAcentral is "partial 16S ribosomal RNA". It matches the Rfam family "Bacterial small subunit ribosomal RNA", at positions 30 to 507 of the family's 1533-position model. The record is from RNAcentral.